GAUGAAUCCCGUACGUUGGCGGCUGUUUUAAACUGGGUGCUCGGCUAGGACCCUUUUGCCAGUAUGAAGCCGAUUUCAACGGUAACUGCAGAAAGCGUCAGCACGCUCAGCUCAUCACUGGAGUAACGUCUGUACAACGGGUGAGAUAAAACUCAACGCCUGACUGAAUCAUCCAUUCCCUUUUCGAUCCUACGCCAUACGUUAAACUUGAGGUAAUCUUGCUUUUGCUGUUCUAAAAUAAACACUGCUCUUAGCACACCCCACCCUUACAUGGCACACAAGUAUAUGACACACAACACAGGUCUUCUCAGGAGGCUGUGCCUACAGAGAGCAGCAGUUGCAGACUUCACCCCAGACCCAACACAUUUUGGGCUCCCACUUUCAACUAUUGAGGAGCUACAAUGUUUGUAGGAGACAUUAAAUAAUCCAGAUGAGAAGAAGAAUUUGACUGUUUUUCCUGGAAUGGUCGGAGACAAGACUCUUAAAGACACCGUGGGGUGGGUCCUGAAAAAAACAAUGAACUCUUCGUGGCGAG
Molecule: non-coding RNA, 535 nt
Organism: Paramisgurnus dabryanus
Lineage: Eukaryota; Metazoa; Chordata; Actinopteri; Cypriniformes; Cobitidae
Source: RefSeq, a predicted model, not a curated record